RNAcentral lists this unclassified non-coding RNA (976 nucleotides) under Hevea brasiliensis (rubber tree). The record is from RNAcentral. Lineage: Eukaryota; Viridiplantae; Streptophyta; Magnoliopsida; Malpighiales; Euphorbiaceae.
CUAGUGAGCAAACAGGAGCAGUUUCUGGAAGAAAAGAAUAUGGUAAAUCAUCAGACAGUCGGCAGCCCUCUGAGAAGCCUGCGGGCGAGACCCUGAACAAUGGAAAGAACAAGCUGAAAAAUCUGAGAGAUGGUUUAAGAGAGUUGCAGAGCUGCAUAACGUUACGGAUCUGGCUAGUGCAAUUUCCGAUGAGGACUUUCCUGAGAUCAUGCCAAUGCGCAAAGGAGAGAAUCGAUUUGUAGUCAGCAAAAGGAAAGAUCGAUCCUUGACUUCUCCAAUGUACAAGAGACGUAUGGCCAUGGAGCAGGCUAAUGAUUCCAAUUUUGUGCCCUUUGUCCCCUUCCCACCAAACUACUUUGCAAAAAAGGAUAACCAACAGCCAGAUGUAGCUGAUUCAACUAAUAAUGCUACCAGUGGAACUGCAAAUUCUGCAACACUAGCGAAGCUCCCUGAGAAGUUGGAUGACAGUAAACCCGUGGUGGCUGGUGCUUCACAUGUUCAAGGGAUGGAAAACCAACAAUACAGCACAGAUUCAAGAACUUGGGAAAAUUCAAAUGAAAUGAAAGCAGGUGUAAAUUCAACUCAAACUGUUGUUGAUCCUCAGUCUAGUAGCAGGGAUGGUUGGAGCAGUGGAUAUCCUAGAAAUGAAACUAUUAGUGAGACACCAAAUCUGGUUGGUAGUAUGCCACAGAAUUUUCCUACUUCCCCAAUAAAUGGCAAGGACAGUGGGAGCAAUCGAUUCCCCAGUAAAGAGGACGUCAAUGAGGCAGCAAGUUUGACAAAGACUACAUCUCAUCCAUCUGAGAAUCAGAAAAUUAGGGAUAGCUGGACUGGGAAAAGCUUGGAAGGGUCAGCAGUGAAGGAGCCAGAUCCUUUGGACAUGUCAGAAGAGGCCAAGGCAGAGAGGUGGUUCCGACGCGUUGCUCAGAUCAAGGACAUAUCUGAGCUGAGCCAGAUCCCAGAUGAAGAUUUCCCC